AGUUUUACAAACUCCGAGGCAGAAGCAGCAUCACACGUCGAAGAUAAGGUUAAAACUCUUGCUCUAAAUAAAAUACAAAUCACGAAGCGCCUAUCGUGCAAAGACUCUGUGGAGAGGUGAUGAAGAGCUAGCUAUAGCUAUGGCGAAAUCUGGAAAUCUGGCAUUCACAGUUUUGAAUUCAUCACCUUCUAAUUACUUAGUAUCAGCGAUUAAACCCAGAACCAAAACUCUCAGCAUCAUUCAGACUACUUGCAAUUAUGUUAUCGCUGCCACUAGUUCUUCUAACAAAAGCAAUAAGCAGCUCCACUCACCAUUGAUAGGAAAGCCAAGUAGAGCACCACGUCGUCUAAUCACAGUAUCAACGAGUGAUGGAAAAUGGCAUGGUGAAUGGACAAGUGAUUACAAAUUGUCUUUGCAGGACCUACAAUUACAGGAUUUGGUUGAGGUUGAAGAAGACAAAAAGAAAAAUGCCCAAGUGUUGGUCAGCCUUAGCAUCCAAAAGCAUGCUAGCUUUGGCUUGACAGUAGAUGGAAACAUUGUGACAUCAUUCACUCGAAAAUGCAGUAAUUGCUCUUCACCUUAUUGCCGACAGAUUGAUGCAAAAUUUAAAGUAUGGAUUCUCUUGGCAAGCAGAGAUAAUCACAAUAUACAACUUCCUGAUAUUGGCGGUACACUGCGUCGCAGAAGUGAAACAUGGAGAAAGAUUUGAAGAAAAGCUCUACCAAAGAAGAUGAAAACGUUUUUGUGGCUUUUGGAACAUGAGAAUUCAUAUUGCAUUUCUUAGAAAUAGAAGAGUACUUGCACAGACUGGCAGAUGCCUGCUAAGAUGUGCAGAGGAGGAAACAAUCAUGCACAUGAUUGGAGGCUGUCCGCAUGUAAAGGAAAAGCGGAAAAAGUUAGUGAUGUCAGAUUUGUGGCCACAAUAUUCAAACUUGGGGAGUAUAACAGUGGCUAAAGCUCUGUUUGGUUGGAGGUAAAUGGAGGGGAGGGGAGGGGAGGGGAGGGGAGGGAUACCAUUUCUUUCAUUUGGUUUAAAAUUUUUGGAGGGGAGGGGAGCCAAAAUUUUGGCUCCCCUCCCCUCCCCUCCCCUUAUUUUGGAUCCCUCCAAAUUGGGGUUUUUUUGAGGGAGAGCUAAGGUGGAGUUUCAUAUUAGAAGCAAGAAGAAUCUUCACCUAGUCUGUAUCGUGGAACAUUUUAUUCUUUUAUGUUUGUUGGGAUAUCUGGGUCUUGAGAUGUAAAAAGGCCUUUUGUAAUGAGGUUAACCAUACUGUAAGGAUUAUGCUAGAUAGUUCUCCAGGGCAAGAAUGAUGGGUAAUUUUGAGAACUCAAUCAGAUCUACUGUGGGGACGCACCUGUUGAGACAAAAAAUGAAUGUUGUUGAGCUACUUUAACCUAGAGAUUGAUGGAGCAGGAGCAGUCAAGUUUAAUGAAUGAAGCUCAUGUGGUGGAAUAGUGUUGGGCUUUUGCAAGAUAGUGGAACUUUGCCCUCCUACCUUUACAGAGAUAAAACGCAUUAUAGCUGGUGAUAUAUGUUAGACCAGGAUAUGAAGCUGAUCUUGAUUCUCUGAUACAAGAUACCAUCAGGCUAAACACCCCAAUCAAAGAUACUUGCUCAGAGUUGUGCGAGAAAUCUGAGGCCACAUUACAGUUUAUUGGAGGGAUAAACAGUUCUAUUGAUAAAAGGUGGUCAAGGCUAUAUGAGCUAAAAAGUGCAAGGCUAUAAUUAACGGCAUUCAUAAACAACAAACAGGUGCGGGUAAAUGUGGAGCUGGCUGAGGAUAUAUGUCUACAUGUUCAUGCACAACACGCGCAUAUGUAUUUAUAUGUACUAAUGUUGCGUUGUUUAUAAUUUGUACUGGUUAUUUCUUAAGACUUGUGCUUUAUUUGUAGGCAUAAGUUAUAUCUUUCACAUUUUUGGCAUAUGUUAUUAGAAUUUUGGUAUAUUUGUAAUUAAUAGUCAAUAUUUAUAAGAUCAUUUGUCUGCACAUUUUGAUCAUUAGUCAUGGUAUCAUUGUUAGCUUGA
Prosopis cineraria is the source of this 2023-nucleotide RNA transcript. It is a transcript of the gene named large ribosomal RNA subunit accumulation protein YCED homolog 2, chloroplastic-like, with no coding region annotated. NCBI's taxonomy places the organism in Eukaryota, Viridiplantae, Streptophyta, Magnoliopsida, Fabales, Fabaceae. The record is from RefSeq and is a predicted model, not a curated record. The transcript is spliced from 8 exons.